This is a long non-coding RNA of Oncorhynchus nerka (sockeye salmon), 2412 nucleotides long. RefSeq lists it as uncharacterized. The record is from RefSeq and is a predicted model, not a curated record. The transcript has 4 exons. Lineage: Eukaryota; Metazoa; Chordata; Actinopteri; Salmoniformes; Salmonidae.
CCAUGGCUCUAACCCAGGACUUUUGCCUUGCUAGCACACUUGACCACUCUCCCAAAGUGUCUAACCAGUCGGCACCACCGAAAUGCUAGCUAUUUGAUGGUGCAAGUGGGGACACUUCAGGCUGAGGAAAUUUGACACGUAAAAAUUGCGUAUUUUUCUGGUUGUGAACUAGUUGUUUAGUUGAACUGACGUAACCAGAUUACAGGUAAAGACAUAUUUUCUGGCUCAUAAUGUCCAGUGAACAACCUGACCCAUGAUGUCACAGAAGACGUCAGCCUGACGGGAUUAUAUCCAGUUUUGCCCGCUGUGAUGCGUUUUAUUUUAUUGGCCAAACCCAGUUGUUCACCAAUUCAUGCAUGAGCAAAUGUCACGGAACAUGUGACGUGGACCAAUGUGUGUCCACGCUGCUUCUCAUCCGUGACUGAUCAAUUUAUCCACCAAGCUGGAACCACCUGCAACUGGAUACGGACAUUUUUAAGAUAACUUUUCCCCGAAUCGAGAAUGAAGACAGAAUCGCCAAGAGCAGAGCCCAGGGCCAAUUAGAGAGCCUCACAGAGAGAUGGGAGACGGACAUUCAUCCCAUGCUUCUGCUACCACAUCCUCCUCUUCCGUCUCCUCCCCAACUGCCUGCCCCCUGUCCAUCCCUACACCUGUCAACAUAUUUCCCCCCCUUCUAUACCACUCUCCCUCCCAUCUCUAUCUGUGACACGCUGCAACCCAUCCUCCUGCCCCAUCUCUCCCAUCCUGGAUGACAGCCAUUUACAAAGAAACGGGAGCUGAAAUGCUGGGUUUGGAGAGGGACAGGAUGGAUUCGGGUUGAGAUGACACUUCUUUCUCCUGUUGACCCAUCAUCCAUCUAAGAAAAGCUACCCAAGAUACUAAGUACACAAACAAAUACACACAAAGACACACACACAAGCACUUGUCUGCCUACCGACUGACCUGACCGACUGACCAACCUACCCAUCUACCUACCUACUGACAUACCUACAGUGGCUUGGGAAAGUAUUCAUCCCCUUGGCAUUUUUCCUAUUUUGUUGCCUUACCACCUGGAAUUAACAUCUUCCACUUUGAAGAUGCAAAAUAUUUUCUAUUGUGAAACAAGCAAGAAAUAAGACAAAAAAACAGAAAACUUAGCGUGCAUAACUAUUCACCCCCACAAAGUCAAAACUUGGUAGAGCCACCUUUUGCAGCAAUUACAGCUGCAAUUCUCUUGGGGUAAGUCUCUAUAAGCUUGGCAUAUCUAGCCACUGGGAUUUUUGCCCAUUCUUCAAGGCAAAACUGCUCCAGCUCCUUCAAGUUGGAUGGGUUCCGCUGGUGUACAGCAAUCUUUAAGUCAUACCACAGAUUCUCAAUUGGAUUGAGGUCUGGGCUUUGACUAUGCCAUUCCAAUACAUUUAAAUGUUUCCCCUUAAACCACUUGAGUGUUGCUUUAGCAGUAUGCUUAGAGUCAUUGUCCUGCUGGAAGGUGAACCUCCGUCCCAGUCUCAAAUCUCUGGAAGACUGAAACAGGUUUCCCUCAAGAGUUUCCCUGUAUUUAGCGCCAGCCAUAUUUCUUCAAUUCUGACCAGUUUCCCAGUCCCUGCCGAUGAAAAACAUCCCCACAGCAUGAUACUGCCACCAGCAUGCUUUACUGUGGGGAUGGUGUUCUCAGGGUGAUGAGGGGUGUUGGGUUUGCGCCAGACAUAGCAUUUUCCUUGAUGGCCAAAAAGCUCAAUUUAGUCUCAUCUGACCAGAGUACCUUCUUCCAUAUGUUGGGGAGCCUCCCACAUGCCUUUUGGCAAACACCAAACGUGUUUGCUUAUUUUUUUCUUUAAGCUUUGGCUUUUUUCUUGCCACUCUUCCGUAAAGCCCAGCUCUGUGGAGUGUACGGCAUAAAGUGGUCCUAUGGACAGAUACUCCAAUUUCCGCUGUGGAGGUUUGCAGCUCCUUCAGGGUUAUCUUUGUUCUCUAUGUUGCCUCUCUGAUUAAUUCCCUCCUUGCCUGGUCCAUGAGUUUUGGUGGGCGGCCCUCUCUUGGCAGAUUUGUUGUGGUGACAUAUUUCUUCCAUUUUUUUAUAAUGGAUUUAAUGGUGCUCCGUGGGAUGUUCAAAGUUUAUGAAUUAUUUUUAUAACCCAACCCCAAUCUGUACUUCUCCGCAACUUUAUCCCUGACCUAUUUGGAGAGCUCCAAAUUACAUUACAUGCAAUCCAAAUAAAAAUCUAUUUAAAUUGCAGGUUGUAAUGCAACAAAAUAGGAAAAACACCAAGGGGGAUGAAUACUUUUGCAAGGCAAUGUACCUAAACAACCUACCUGCUGAUCUAUCUUUCUCCCUGCCUACCGACACACUUACCAACCUACCAACCUACUUACCUACUUACUUUAUUAUGGUUUAUGGCUUAUGAAAGCGUAAUACAUACAUUUUUGAAUUAA